This 1177-nucleotide ribosomal RNA is filed under the name Euryarchaeota archaeon UBA89. Its description in RNAcentral is "bacterial SSU rRNA". It matches the Rfam family "Archaeal small subunit ribosomal RNA", at positions 288 to 1467 of the family's 1478-position model. The record is from RNAcentral. Lineage: Archaea; Methanobacteriati; Thermoplasmatota; Candidatus Poseidoniia; Candidatus Poseidoniales.
GCCCGGAGAUGGAUUCUGAGACACGAAUCCAGACCCUACGGGGUGCAGCAGGCGCGAAAACUUGGCAAUGCGAGAAAUCGUGACCAGGGAACUCCAAGUGCAUCGGGUAAGACCGGUGCUUUUCUUGACUCUAAAUAGGUCUUGGAAUAAGGGGUGGGUAAGGACGGUGCCAGCCGCCGCGGUAAUACCGGCGCCUCAAGUGGUAGUCGCUUUUAUUGGGCCUAAAACGUCCGUAGCCGGUCUGAUACAUUCGUGGGUAAAUCAACCAGCUCAACUGGUUGAAUUCUGCGAGGACGGUCAGACUUGGGACCGGGAGAGGUGUGGGGUACGCUCAGGGUAGGGGUAAAAUCCUGUCAUCCUGAGCGGACCACCUGUUGCGAAGGCGCCACACUAGAACGGAUCCGACGGUCAGGGACGAAGCCUAGGGGCACGAACCGGAUUAGAUACCCGGGUAGUCCUAGGUGUAAACGCUGUGGACUUGAUGUUGGGGGUGCUCCGAGCACUCUCAGUGUCGAAGCGAAGGUGAUAAGUCCACUGCCUGGGAAGUACGGUCGCAAGGCUGAAACUUAAAGGAAUUGGCGGGGGAGCACCGCAACCUGAGGAUUGUGCGGUUUAAUUGGAUUCAACGCCGGAAAACUCACCAUAGCCGACGGACAAAUGAAGGUCAGUGUAAUGAACUUACCGGAUUGUUCGAGAGGUAGUGCAUGGCCGCCGUCAGUUCGUACCGCAAGGCGUUCUGUUAAGUCAGAUAACGAACGAGACCCUCAUCUCUAUUUGCUAGCUAAAUCUCCGGAUUUAGUGCACUAUAGAGAGACCGCUGGCGCUAAGUCAGAGGAAGGGGAGGGCAACGGUAGGUCAGUAUGCUCCGAAUGCUAUGGGCUACACGCGCAAUACAAAGGACGGGACAAUGGGCUGCUGCUCCGAAAGGAACGAUAGCUAUCCCGAAACCCGUUCGUAGUUCGGAUUGAGGGCUGUAACUCGCCCUCAUGAAGCUGGAUUAGGUAGUAAUCGCGUCUCAAAAAGGCGCGGUGAAUAUGCCCCUGCUCCUUGCACACACCGCCCGUCAAACCAUCUUAGUUGUGGGUGGGUGAGGCUACCUCUCAAUGGGGUAUUCGAGCCUGCCUUCGACGAGGAGGGUUAAGUCGUAACAAGGUAUCUGUAGGGGAACCUGCAGAUG